AGCAAGAAGGAUGAGGUUGACCUCCCUUUCCUCUUGCUGUUUAUGCGGGUGCUCUGUUCUGACAUAAACAGAGUGUCCAGGAGCUUGGAUGGACACACGGGUGACUAAGAGAGAUGGCAGCAACAUGGGGACAAUUUAUGAUUAGCACAGGAGAGAGGUAUUUACAACUCAUGAAUUCUUCUCAGAUUAUUCCAUCAAUGUCCCCAAUCAUAUGGAGGAUUCCAAGCACAUUCAACCAGAUGUACGGAGAUUAUCUCUUCACAGAAAACAUAUGAAGGUGAGGGCAGAACACCAGCAGCAAUGACGACAUUUGGCCACAGCCAGAACAUGCAUCCUUGCUCUUCCUCAGUGAUUCCUCAAGUACACAUAUGAAGAAUGUUUGGCAAGUGUACACUUUUGACCAUUUUCCAUGUCUCUUACAGCAUGCAAACUGAUCCAGAAAAAUGCUACCCUGUCUCUUUUAUCAUAUCAAAUGGAAAGUUUGGGGAAACUGAUUUUCAGGGAAUACAGUUUCCAGAAUUACCAACCAACAGGGUCAGAAAUUCUGGGAACUAAAUUGUCAAGAAAAAAACUUUCUCAAUCACUAAUUUCAUGAAAACUCUGCAGCAAAAACAGCAAUAAUAGCAACCCUGCUUCACUUUGCUGGUCCAUAAAAUAACCCAUACAUGAA
This is a long non-coding RNA of Anolis carolinensis (green anole), 670 nucleotides long. RefSeq lists it as uncharacterized. The transcript is spliced from 2 exons. The record is from RefSeq and is a predicted model, not a curated record. NCBI's taxonomy places the organism in Eukaryota, Metazoa, Chordata, Lepidosauria, Squamata, Anolidae.